This 657-nucleotide ribosomal RNA is filed under the name uncultured Acidobacteriota bacterium. RNAcentral's name for it is "bacterial SSU rRNA". It matches the Rfam family "Bacterial small subunit ribosomal RNA", at positions 8 to 643 of the family's 1533-position model. The record is from RNAcentral. Lineage: Bacteria; Pseudomonadati; Acidobacteriota.
AGAGUUUGAUCCUGGCUCAGAAUCAACGCUGGCGGCGUGCCUCAGACAUGCAAGUCGAACGCGAAAUUUCCCUUCGGGGAGAAAGUAGAGUGGCGCACGGGUGAGUAACACGUAGGUAAUCUACCUUUGGAUGGGGAAUAACCCAGAGAAAUCUGGGCUAAUACCGCAUAAUGCAGCGGCACCUAAUGGUGACAGUUGUUAAAGCGGGGGAUCGAAAGACCCCGCGUCUAAAGAGGAGCCUGCGGCGGAUUAGCUAGUUGGUAAGGUAAUGGCUUACCAAGGCUACGAUCCGUAACCGGCCUGAGAGGGCGGUCGGUCACACUGACACUGACAUACGGGUCAGACUCCUACGGGAGGCAGCAGUCGGGAAUUUUGGGCAAUGGGCGAAAGCCUGACCCAGCAACGCCGCGUGAAGGAUGAAAUCCCUCGGGAUGUAAACUUCGCAAGAACGGGAAGAAUAAGUAGGGGACAAUACCCCCUAUGAUGACGGUACCGUUUGUAAGCUCCGGCUAACUCCGUGCCAGCAGCCGCGGUAAUACGGGGGGAGCAAGCGUUGUUCGGAUUUACUGGGCGUAAAGGGCGCGUAGGCGGUCAGCACAAGUCAGUUGUGAAAUCUCCGAGCUUAACUCGGAAAGGUCAACUGAUACUGUGCGACUA